This 598-nucleotide long non-coding RNA is filed under the name Mytilus galloprovincialis (Mediterranean mussel). The record is from RNAcentral. Lineage: Eukaryota; Metazoa; Mollusca; Bivalvia; Mytilida; Mytilidae.
UGACAGAAACUUUUUAAAGUUUCCACCAUACUGAACAAAUGUGCUCAGAUUGAAGUUGAUGUGACUUUUUUAUGCUUUGUAUUAAUCUGAUGAUUUAAGCCCUUUUCAACUGAUUUUUAUGGAUUGUUCAUAUGUCAUACUGUCACACCAAUGUCCUAGGUUAGGCAGGGGAUGGGCACUACCAAAUAUGUUAAAUCCCUUUAUAUUAUGUAUGUGUGUGUCUCAAGCCAGAAGCAUGUCAUUUAGCAGUUGUUGUUUGUUUCUGUAUAUUAUAUUUGUUUUCCAUUCAUUGUUUUGUACAAAAAACAGGGCAUUACUUUUCUUGUUUGAAUUGUUUUACCUUUUAUAGCUUUUUACAGCAGACUAAGGAGUAUGGGUUUUGCUUGUUGUUGAAGGCCUUAGGGUGAUCUUUAGUUGUUAACUUUUAUGUCAUUUCAUCUCUGGUGGAGUUGUCUCAUUGGCAAUCAUUCCACAUCUUCUUCUAUUUUAUAUUGAGAGAUAUUACAAUGCAAUUUUCCAUAAAUAUCUUGCAAGAAUUGAGAGGGCUAAUGACACCAGUGCGGAAGCACAACACUAUUCAUUUGGUACUAAGGAUUCG